Cynocephalus volans (Philippine flying lemur) is the source of this 117-nucleotide small nuclear RNA. RefSeq annotates it as U5 spliceosomal RNA. The transcript has a single exon. The record is from RefSeq and is a predicted model, not a curated record. Lineage: Eukaryota; Metazoa; Chordata; Mammalia; Dermoptera; Cynocephalidae.
AUACUCUGGUUUCUCUUCAGAUUGUGUAAAUCUUUUGCCUUUUACUAAAGAUUCUCAUGGAGAGAAACAACUCUUGAGACUUAAACCAGUUUUUUGAGGCUCUGUUUCGGCAAGGCU